This 75-nucleotide transfer RNA is filed under the name Shigella sonnei. Its description in RNAcentral is "tRNA-His(gtg)". It matches the Rfam family "tRNA". From Rfam's summary of the family: Transfer RNA (tRNA) molecules are approximately 80 nucleotides in length. The record is from RNAcentral. Lineage: Bacteria; Pseudomonadati; Pseudomonadota; Gammaproteobacteria; Enterobacterales; Enterobacteriaceae.
UGGCUAUAGCUCAGUUGGUAGAGCCCUGGAUUGUGAUUCCAGUUGUCGUGGGUUCGAAUCCUCUCUCGCCGACCA